CGUUCCGAAAGGAGCGCUAAUACGGCACACGUCCUACGGGAGAAAGUGGGGGAUCUUCGGACCUCACGCUAUCAGAUGAGCCUAGGUCGGAUUAGCUAGUAGGUGGGGUAAUGGCUCACCUAGGCGACGAUCCGUAACUGGUCUGAGAGGAUGAUCAGUCACACUGGAACUGAGACACGGUCCAGACUCCUACGGGAGGCAGCAGUGGGGAAUAUUGGACAAUGGGCGAAAGCCUGAUCCAGCCAUGCCGCGUGUGUGAAGAAGGUCUUCGGAUUGUAAAGCACUUUAAGUUGGGAGGAAGGGCAGUAAGUUAAUACCUUGCUGUUUUGACGUUACCAACAGAAUAAGCACCGGCUAACUUCGUGCCAGCAGCCGCGGUAAUACGAAGGGUGCAAGCGUUAAUCGGAAUUACUGGGCGUAAAGCGCGCGUAGGUGGUUUGGUAAGAUGGAUGUGAAAUCCCCGGGCUCAACCUGGGAACUGCAUCCAUAACUGCCUGACUAGAGUACGGUAGAGGGUGGUGGAAUUUCCUGUGUAGCGGUGAAAUGCGUAGAUAUAGGAAGGAACACCAGUGGCGAAGGCGACCACCUGGACUGAUACUGACACUGAGGUGCGAAAGCGUGGGGAGCAAACAGGAUUAGAUACCCUGGUAGUCCACGCCGUAAACGAUGUCGACUAGCCGUUGGGAUCCUUGAGAUCUUAGUGGCGCAGCUAACGCGAUAAGUCGACCGCCUGGGGAGUACGGCCGCAAGGUUAAAACUCAAAUGAAUUGACGGGGGCCCGCACAAGCGGUGGAGCAUGUGGUUUAAUUCUAAGCAACGCGAAGAACCUUACCUGGCCUUGACAUGUCCGGAAUCCUGCAGAAAUGCUGGAGUGCCUUCGGGAAUCGGAACACAGGUGCUGCAUGGCUGUCGUCAGC
Molecule: ribosomal RNA, 917 nt
Filed under: Pseudomonas citronellolis
Lineage: Bacteria; Pseudomonadati; Pseudomonadota; Gammaproteobacteria; Pseudomonadales; Pseudomonadaceae
Description: bacterial SSU rRNA
Rfam family: Bacterial small subunit ribosomal RNA
Source: RNAcentral